GAGUUUGAUCAUGGCUCAGGAUGAACGCUAGCGGCAGGCUUAACACAUGCAAGUCGAGGGGUAACAGGAUAGCUUGCUAUUGCUGACGACCGGCGCACGGGUGCGUAACGCGUAUAGAACCUACCUUUUACUGGAGGAUACCCUUUGGAAACGAAGAAUAAUACUCCAUAGUAUUAUAGAUUGGCAUCAGUUUAUAAUUAAAGAUUACGGUAAAAGAUGGCUAUGCGUCCUAUUAGUUAGUUGGUAAGGUAACGGCUUACCAAGACUACGAUAGGUAGGGGCCCUGAGAGGGGGAUCCCCCACACUGGUACUGAGACACGGACCAGACUCCUACGGGAGGCAGCAGUGAGGAAUAUUGGACAAUGGAGGCAACUCUGAUCCAGCCAUGCCGCGUGCAGGAAGACUGCCCUAUGGGUUGUAAACUGCUUUUAUAGAGGAAGAAACACUGGUACGUGUACCAACUUGACGGUACUCUACGAAUAAGGACCGGCUAACUCCGUGCCAGCAGCCGCGGUAAUACGGAGGGUCCAAGCGUUAUCCGGAAUCAUUGGGUUUAAAGGGUUCGUAGGCGGGUCAAUAAGUCAGAGGUGAAAUCUUGCAGCUUAACUGUAAAAUGGCCUUUGAUACUGUUGACCUUGAAUUACUGUGAAGUGGUUAGAAUAUGUAGUGUAGCGGUGAAAUGCUUAGAGAUUACAUAGAAUACCGAUUGCGAAGGCAGAUCACUAACAGUAUAUUGACGCUGAUGAACGAAAGCGUGGGUAGCGAACGGGAUUAGAUACCCCGGUAGUCCACGCCGUAAACGAUGGAUACUAGCUGUUCGGACGCAAGUUUGAGUGGCUAAGCGAAAGUGAUAAGUAUCCCACCUGGGGAGUACGUUCGCAAGAAUGAAACUCAAAGGAAUUGACGGGGGCCCGCAC
Molecule: ribosomal RNA, 917 nt
Filed under: uncultured Bacteroidota bacterium
Lineage: Bacteria; Pseudomonadati; Bacteroidota
Description: bacterial SSU rRNA
Rfam family: Bacterial small subunit ribosomal RNA
Source: RNAcentral